GGUGACGUGUCAGAGCGGCCGAAUGAGCUCGCCUCGAAAGCGAGUGUGGUGAAAGCCACCGAGGGUUCAAAUCCCUCCGUCACCGCCG
This 88-nucleotide transfer RNA is filed under the name Propionibacterium sp. oral taxon 192 str. F0372. Its description in RNAcentral is "tRNA-Ser". It matches the Rfam family "tRNA". From Rfam's summary of the family: Transfer RNA (tRNA) molecules are approximately 80 nucleotides in length. The record is from RNAcentral. Lineage: Bacteria; Bacillati; Actinomycetota; Actinomycetes; Propionibacteriales; Propionibacteriaceae.